This 439-nucleotide ribosomal RNA is filed under the name Cylindroiulus horvathi. RNAcentral describes it as "partial 16S ribosomal RNA". The record is from RNAcentral. Lineage: Eukaryota; Metazoa; Arthropoda; Diplopoda; Julida; Julidae.
AUGGUUUCCUGUUAUGAUUGAAUAAGAAAUUUAGUCUGCCCCCUGAUGUAUGUUAAAGGGCUGCAGUAUUUUGACUGUACAAAGGUAGCACAAUCAUUAGUUUAUUAAUUGUGGACGGGUAUGAAGGGCUAGACAAGUAAAUAUUGUUUCAUUAUUAUGAUUUGAAUUUUCUUUUUCUGUUAAAAGGUAGAAAUGUAAUUAAAAGACGAGAAGACCCUUUAAAGUUAAUAUGACUAUUUUUAUUAAUUUAUAUUAAGGAAAAUAAGGAUAAAAAUAAUUAUAUUUUACUGGGGCGGUAGGUAUAGAAACAAUACAAGUUAUAAAUGUGUUAAUUCUUUAGAUAGGUGUAUGAGCCCUUAAGUAGGCUAAUAAGAUAAGUUACUGAAGGGAUAACAGCGUAAUGUGCUUUAAGAGUUCAUAUUGACAAGCAUGUUUGCGA